CCUACGGGAGGCAGCAGUGAGGAAUAUUGGUCAAUGGGCGCGAGCCUGAACCAGCCAAGCCGCGUGAAGGAGGACGGCCCUACGGGUUGUAAACUUCUUUUGUAAGGGAAUAAAGACAGGCACGCGUUCCUGUUUGUCUGUACAUUAUGAAUAAGGAUCGGCUAACUCCGUGCCAGCAGCCGCGGUAAUACGGAGGAUCCGAGCGUUAUCCGGAUUUAUUGGGUUUAAAGGGCGCGUAGAUGGUUGGAUAAGUCAGGUGUGAAAGCCCGGGGCUCAACCGUGGAAUUGCAGUUGAUACUGGCAGGCUUGAGUGCAGGUGAGGUAGGCGGAAUGCGCGGUGUAGCGGUGAAAUGCUUAGAUAUCACGAAGAACUCCGAUUGCGAAGGCAGCUUACUAACCUGCCACUGACAUUGAGGCACGAAAGCGUGGGUAUCAAACAGGAUUAGAUACCCUAGUAGUC
RNAcentral lists this ribosomal RNA (460 nucleotides) under uncultured bacterium. RNAcentral's name for it is "partial 16S ribosomal RNA". It matches the Rfam family "Bacterial small subunit ribosomal RNA", at positions 338 to 795 of the family's 1533-position model. The record is from RNAcentral.